CCCGCCGCGGGGCCCUCAGGUACGCGAUUCACCUCAGAGGCCCGCGGGGCUGCAGCCAGGAUUCUGCCCUGUUUAGGCCGCGGGGACGCCUGGCGUCGAGGCGGCCCUGAGGGGACUCGCUUGUUCCAGGCCGCGAGGAGCUGUGAGGUGGGGAAGAAGCCUCGGGAAGUCCUUCAAUCGCAGAAGGAAGCACCGCUGGCACAGAGCCAUCUGAAAACAGUUGCCCAUUCUGGCCGCUCCGCUGCGGGACUGCGAACAGCUUGGCUCCAGCAUCACCACGUGGGAAGUUGGAAGAAUAGUUCAGGGAGCACCCAAGUACUCAACUCCCAGGUUGAAUGGCGACCACGAAGGACAAACUUCACUGGCUUGAUUUUGCUUGCUGUGAGGCUGCAGCAGCUGAAAUCCUGGGAUCUCUGACAGGGCCAGCCCAAGGUAAGAAUUCUUACCAUAUUUGUCUCCCAGUUCUGUUUGCAGGGACUGGUUAAAACAAGAGUGAUGAGUGAACUUUUCUUUUUCUGAAUGUAGAUUAGCAGGAGAAAAUAUCUGUGGAACUAGUUCCUUUGGUACAGUGACUCUGGUAAAGAAUUGAUUGUGGAUAACCGAUCAAAGAAUUCACCCAAGGCAGAACAGAGGGAGAUAGACAUUUACUGAAUUCACUGCAAGGGAGCAGUGGGCAGGACAGCAAAGGAGAGACUGCCCAGAGGCAGUGAUAGGGGGUAAUAAUUAAGAGGGGGAGUAAGGAGGUAUGGGAAUGUAUGGAAUUUUCCUUAUUUGGAGACUGUGCCUGGUUAUAAGUAGCCUAUUGGUCUGCUAGGACUUGCAGAUAUUUUGAGGUGGGUUGCCUAACUAAUAAGCCUGUUCACAUUCAUUCCAGUGGUCACUGUGGACUCUUUUACCUUAUUCAGGUUUCUAUUACUCAAACCCUGCUCCGAAAAGUAGCCUCUACAUUGGUAAUGAGUACUUUUGUUUUUUAUUGAUCCUUUCCAUCCCAGAGAUAGUCACUAUUUUUCUUUUUCUCUCUGUCUAUUGUGUUGUUGUCUUGCUCUGUGUCCUGAGAGUGUGGCUUUGUGACCACUGAGAAUAUUCUGACUGGUCUCCCAGUCAGAAGGUGCAUUUAUUGGUGUGCAUUUUGGUGGCCAGUUGACGGGGAUUCUGAGAUACAAAGUCACAAGCAGUAUUCUCUUUGUCCAACUGUGCCAGCUCUCAGGGAGUUUGUGAUAGGAGGUCCUGGUCCAUAAGGGACUUUUGCCAUCCCAACCUCCAUUGUUUGGUUAGUGCUGAAAAAAAUCCCAUCACUGUGGCAUCUUCCUGCUGUCACAGAUUAGUGGGUCUGUAUCUGGAGAUAUCUCAUGUUCUUGUGGGAAACCAGAAAUAUAUUCAUCAUACCCUUCUUACCACCUGUAAAA
RNAcentral lists this long non-coding RNA (1406 nucleotides) under Vulpes vulpes (red fox). Its description in RNAcentral is "lncRNA (ENSVVUG00000023053.1)". Lineage: Eukaryota; Metazoa; Chordata; Mammalia; Carnivora; Canidae. The record is from RNAcentral.